Molecule: transfer RNA, 74 nt
Filed under: Daphnia pulex (common water flea)
Lineage: Eukaryota; Metazoa; Arthropoda; Branchiopoda; Diplostraca; Daphniidae
Rfam family: tRNA
About the family: Transfer RNA (tRNA) molecules are approximately 80 nucleotides in length.
Source: Rfam by way of RNAcentral
GCCUCUGUGGCGAAAUUGGCUAGCGUGUUCGGCUGUUAACCGGAAGGCUGGUGGUUCGAUCCCACCCAGGGUCG